Non-coding RNA from Triticum aestivum (bread wheat), 135 nucleotides. The record is from Rfam. Lineage: Eukaryota; Viridiplantae; Streptophyta; Magnoliopsida; Poales; Poaceae.
CAAAUACUCCCUCAGUUCGAAAAUACUUGUCAUCAAAAUGGAUAAAAAUAGAUGUAUCUUGAACGAAAAUACAUCUAGAUACAUCCCCUUUUAUCAAUUUUGAUGACAAGUAUUUCCGAACGAAGGGAGUGCGAC